Molecule: long non-coding RNA, 3022 nt
Organism: Chlorocebus sabaeus (green monkey)
Lineage: Eukaryota; Metazoa; Chordata; Mammalia; Primates; Cercopithecidae
Source: RefSeq, a predicted model, not a curated record
GUCGGUAGCUUACAUCUUUCUGCGGCCCCAGCCCCUCGGCCAGGCUGAGGAAAAGGGGGUGAGGGGUGGCGGUCUGGGCUUCCCUAAUCCCCAGCACCUCCCUUGCCCACCUCAGCCUCUCCCCCUUGGUCUCGGCCUCAUCUGCUCUCUUCUCCUCUCUUCUCCUAUCUUCCAUCUCCUGCUUUCGUUCCCAUCUGCUUCCAGCCCUUCCUGGCUGCCAUUGAGGGGGUGCUCCCCAGUGAUUCUCCCAUCUGGAUCCAGAUCCAAGCCCCACAGCCUCUCUGGGCGGCCCCUGCUGCUCCCCAUGCAGGCUCUUCUCGCUGGUCCCCCAGGAUCCCAGCCCCAGCACAGCCCCCUCUGAGGCCUCCACUCCAAAUGCCAGCUGGGUGCCCCGAUAGUGGGGCCCAGGCACUUGGGACCUGGGUGUGAGGCUGAGCCGGGCUCAGCCAACACAGCCCACCCCAGUCGAGGAAUGGGAUGGUUUUGAGUGCGUCCACUAUCUCUUCUGCUGCUGCCUGAUCCUGAGAGAGACGCAGUUAUAUUCCUCUCAGAGGAGGAAACUGAGGUUCCAAGGGGGUUCUUGGUCACAGCCACCUUGGUUCUGCCAUAGCUUGUGACGGAAAGCAGAACGCAGGAUGGACGUGGCGCGUGACCUGCUCAGCCUCGCUGACCAAGUGCCUGGCCCAUCUGCCGCCUUGCUGUGCUGCCCCUCCUGUGAGGCAGGGGUCAGAACACGCUCAUGCAACAAUUCCGCGAGACUGCGGCCAGCAAAGCAGGCUCCCAUCUGCAGGCUGUGAGAGCCCCAACGUCCACUGUCACAGCCCCCAGAGUGUUGGUGCUUUGAUCCUCAGCCAGAGAAUACCCACGGACCCCUGCCUGGCUGCGGCCUCUUUUGGGCAGAUGGCAGGACCCAAUCCACUCUGAGUCUGCAGCCAUGAACCUGGAAUUUCCCCAGCGCAGAAAUGAGGUGGAGCGCCAGCAGCUCAGGGGUGCCGGGAGCCGAGCACAGGAGCCCCCUGGGGUGCUGAGCCCAGGAAACCCGCAGCAGCUGGGCAGCGUGGUGCUCCCCAAGCCCAUUCGGCCCCCACAUCUCCAGGCCAUGCUGUCCCUGAGUGAUCCAGGCAAAUGGAGUAUGGAGCCCACCCCUGGGGGAUGGGCAGGCCCAGUUCUCCAUCUUCAUAAACAGUGAGUGCUGACCAGAGGCCACACCAGGGCAGAAGCUGGAUGGAGGCAGCUGAGGUGACUUUAAAAACUGGGACUCUGAGUAUCUGUGGGGGCUGCAUGUUGGUCAGGAUUUGUUUUCCAGAAUUCUCUCUGAAGAACAGGAGAUGCUGGAAGCUGGCAGGGCACCCAUGUGGCUCUUGUCGUUAGAAGGAGAAAGGUCCAGGCUGGAAAGGGCCCCUCCCCACUCCCUGUAGGUGCUAAGGGUCUUGGUUGGGCCCUCUGUUCCCCACAAGGAAGCAGUGGGCGUGGGGUCACCUCCAACAUUGCACUGGGGCUGCGGCACCCCUGGGCCAUGCAGGAGGCACAGUGUGGGGCACUCUAGAGGCCUUGAGUGAGUCGGGUCUGGAGGAGGAGGGGGCACAGACAGAGGUGGGGGCAGCGGAGGAAGCCGCGGGUGUGGGAGAGGCCCCAGGCCAGGGACCGAGGUGCAUGUGGGUGCAGGGGACAUUUGCAGGCUGGGCCAUCUGGAGGGACGGCGGACACGUGGCAGUAAGAGAGAAGACAGCGCGGUCUGCCUGGCGUCCGCUUUCUAGGUUGGUGCUGGGUGAGAUGUGCUGCUCAGAUCGUUCCUAGAAGCACAGAACACCCAGAUGUCCCUUCAGGGUCUGUCUCACCUUCAGAGUCACCUUUCCCACAACCCUGUCCUUCUGGGAAAGAUGGAGUCUAGUGACUGAGGAAGGCUGGACCGUGCAGGCCUCCCCACAGUGCCAGCCGAAUAGGCCCCUUGUGUGCCAGAUCUUCCCGCGGGUCACACGGCCCCGUGGGGCCUGCACCACACGUCAGCCCUACCCGCUUCCCUUCGCACGCGCUGGUCCUAAACACCUUCACACCCAUAUCCGGUCCCAAUUCUGCUUCCAGAGACAUCCGAACAUGUGGUACCGUUUGAUGAGAAACCCAAAUCUCUCGCAACAGUGGGAUUCCUUCCCCAUCCCCACGCCUCACGCUCUUGUCCUCACGUGUUCUAUGACUCAGACCCCACGAAGCUCAGGGUGCUGGACACGCACGCGUGCAGAUUUGCCGUUUAAAAGAGAUGACGAGGAGAAGACAGGCGCCUUGCUCACCUGCACGGUCACACGUGGGCUGUGCCCCCCUGCCCUUCCGCGAGUUCCUUACCUUGUGCAGAUCACGCAGCUUUAGCACGUUUUGUCAUGCGGCUCUUAGGACGGCAAAUUUUCUCAGUUUCGUUUACUUCAGAGCACUUUUAUUUCACCUUCACCUUCACUCUGAGGAUUUCUUGCUGGAUUUGGAGCCGUGGGGCGGCUCCUUGCUUUCAUUCCUCUGCCCUCUGCCCUCUGCCCUCUGCCCUCCGCCCUCCGCCCUCCGCCCUCUGCCCUCUGGUUUUUGAUGAGGAGGCACCAGCAUUCAGCACCUCUGGCCGCCCUUUUCUCCGGCUUCUUCCAAAUUGUCUUCAGUUUUCAGCAGUUUGACUGUGCUGUGCCUACAUGUGAGUUUCUGUUUAUCCUGUUUGAAGUUAGCCGAACUUCUUGUGUCUAUAAAUUGAUGCUUUUCACUACGUCCAGGGAAGUUUAGGCUGUUAUUUCUCUAAAUAAUGUGUUUGUGCUCCAAUCUCUCUCUCCUCCCAUUCGGAGACUCCAAUUACACAUGAAGUUGGCAAUUUUACAUUGUUCUGUAAAUGGCUUGGCUCUGUCUCUCUCUUUUAGUGUUUUUAAAAUUUCUGUUAUUUAGAUGAUGACCACUGCUCUGUCUUCAAGUUCAUUAAUCUUUUAUUCUAUAAUUGCAAUAUGUUGUUAAGCCUAUCCAGUGUAAUUAGUUUUAUUUUGUUUUGAGACAGGGUCUC